RNAcentral lists this long non-coding RNA (250 nucleotides) under Bos taurus (domestic cattle). RNAcentral's name for it is "long non-coding RNA NONBTAT019584". The record is from RNAcentral. Lineage: Eukaryota; Metazoa; Chordata; Mammalia; Artiodactyla; Bovidae.
CCUCACUACCUAAAUGCUCAGUGCAAAUAGCCUGGGCUUUAUGAAAUUUGAGUCAUGUCAGGUUAAAUUGUGUCUUGUAUCCUUAGGAUGUCAGAAAGUUUUCUGUGGAAAGGGUUAAAAUUGACUAAACUUAAUAUUAGCUGCGCCAAGAACCCACCUAGAAUAACUAGUUCUUUCUUGUUGGGGCAUUACUAAAGGAGGAAUCUGCACUGGUACUACCAAUUACCACGUAUUUCAUGGGGUGGGGGAG